GACGAACGCUGGCGGCGUGCUUAACACAUGCAAGUCGAACGGAAAGGCCCUGCUUUUGUGGGGUGCUCGAGUGGCGAACGGGUGAGUAACACGUGAGUAACCUGCCCUUGACUUUGGGAUAACUUCAGGAAACUGGGGCUAAUACCGGCUAGGAGCUCCUGCUGCAUGGUGGGGGUUGGAAAGUUUCGGCGGUUGGGGAUGGACGCGCGGCUUAUCAGCUUGUUGGUGGGGUAGUGGCUUACCAAGGCUUUGACGGGUAGCCGGCCUGAGAGGGUGACCGGCCACAUUGGGACUGAGAGACGGCCCAGACUCCUACGGGAGGCAGCAGUGGGGAAUAUUGCACAAUGGGCGGAAGCCUGAUGCAGCAACGCCGCGUGCGGGAUGACGGCCUUCGGGUUGUAAACCGCUUUCGCCUGUGACGAAGCGUGAGUGACGGUAAUGGGUAAAGAAGCACCGGCUAACUACGUG
RNAcentral lists this ribosomal RNA (468 nucleotides) under uncultured bacterium. RNAcentral's name for it is "partial 16S ribosomal RNA". It matches the Rfam family "Bacterial small subunit ribosomal RNA", at positions 28 to 507 of the family's 1533-position model. The record is from RNAcentral.